This is a non-coding RNA of Camellia sinensis, 1477 nucleotides long. NCBI's taxonomy places the organism in Eukaryota, Viridiplantae, Streptophyta, Magnoliopsida, Ericales, Theaceae. The record is from RefSeq and is a predicted model, not a curated record.
GUGGGUUGGCAUUGUCACCCCUCUCCAAUUUUUCCCUUCUCUAUUUUAUUUUAUUCUCUUCUCUUCUCUUCUAUUUCAUUCAUUCUUUCAUAGUAAUCUUUUAUUUCAUUUCAUCUUCUUAUUAGAAAACACAACGCACACACACUCACUCUUUAUUCUCUAUCUAGUUUCUUGGAAACACACUCUCACAAUCUCUGUACACAAACUUCUCUGUUUCUUUUCUUUGAUUCUGACGAACCCACAAGAACAGGAUUGACAUAGUUGCUGGAGCUGAAGUUUGAAGACGAUGGUGACGGUGAUGGUGAUGAUGAUGAUGAUGAUGAUGAUGAGUAGUCUUUUUUGAGAGAUGUUCUCAAAGAGUUCACUGAACUUUUGAUCUCCUCAUUUUAGGUAGUCGGAUUUUCCUACUUACACUGACCUUUCUGGUUCUCAAAAGGUAAGCAAUUUUUUCUUUUUUAAGAUCUCCCAAUUUUCCUCUGUUUUUAGUUUUCUUUUUUGUUUUUUUAUUUUUGUGGAUGUUGAUUGGUUUUCUUAGUUCCUUCUUAGUGGGAAAUUCUUUAGCUAUUAAUGGUAAUCAGUGAGUAUGUGCUCUUAGUGUCAUUGAAUUCCCAUUUUAGUUGUUUCUGUACUAUGAUCAAAGUUUAAUCAUUUUACACACUAGACUUGAUGAUGCAAACUCAUGAACUUUAAUCUCUGCAGGUACUUGUCAUUUUAAUAAUCUAAUUCUUCAUUUUUGAAUUCACUCAUGGAAAUGAUGUAGAUUUGGUAUUUGCCUGAGUUGAUUGAUAUCCUUGUUCCCGAAUUCCCUGUAUAAAUUGGAUACUUUAAACGAAAACAUGCUUUCAUUUGCAUUUGCAACCUUUAGGCUUUGUUCCACCAACUGUGGGAUUCUGUUGGUUUAUUGCAAUGACUCAUGGUCACUUUUUAAUAUCUUCAUUUGAUUUUUUGAAAUGCAGAUUGAGAAACUGAUAAAGGAGCUGCCUAGUAUGCUCGCUGAUUUGUCCAAUGGAGAUCUAAAUUCUGCAGAAAAGGAUCAUUUAAGCAAUGGAAUCUCUUUUCAACACACUGAAAAUGGAACAAAUCCCAGGGAGGCCCAAAGCAUGCUUUUGGAGAGAAUCGCCAGUGAAAUGAAUCGGCUAAAGUUCUACAUCACUCAUGCACAGUUGUUGAACAAGUCAGUGGAAAAGACCACAUGCUCAACCAUUUGAGCAUUCCAGCAGCUUGUUUCACUCACCCAGAAAUUAAGUAUGGUUGGACUCACAGAGGUGAAUAUCAAAUUUUCCAAUUCCCAUACCAAACCCACAAAUUUUCCAAUUAGUGUUAGCAUCACUUUUCUUAAUUUUUAACGGUGUUUUUAUAACCGCCGCAUAUUAUUUAACCAAAACGGCACCGUUUUAUAAUUGAAGAACCAGUACACUUUUUGGGCUUUUAUGAAUAAUUACAAAAAGCUUUAUUGAAACACCAAAAACCAUUUUAU